GUGUCCUCAGCAUGCAUCCUUUCUGGAGCUCUAGGGAAGAAUCCAGCUCCUGCUCAUUUGGGUUGCUGGGAGAAUUCAGUUCCUUGAAUUGUAGCGAAAAGGUCCCCAUUUUCUUGUGAAGUGUAAACCAAGAGCCAUUCUCUGCUUCUAGAGGCUGCCACAUUCUUUGGUUUUUGGCCCCCUUCCCACUCUGUAGAGCCAGCAAAAGCGGAAUAAGUCCUUUUCACUUCUCAUCUCUGCGACCCACCCUUCCGCCACCCUCUUCCACUUUUAAGGACACUUGUGAUUAUGUUGGGCCCACCUGGAUAAUUCAGGUGCUUUAGCUCCAGCCAUCAAUAUAGUUCAAAGACCACAAUCUUCAGAAACACCUGAAGUCUAUAAACUAUGUACACCUGCUGGACCACGUUCUUUGUUGUGUGAUAGUUGUACUGGAGAGGAGAGAGAUUGCAGACAUCAGUUAUAGAAUCAUUAUCAAAGAUCAGGACUACUGGAUUA
Choloepus didactylus (southern two-toed sloth) is the source of this 495-nucleotide long non-coding RNA. RefSeq lists it as uncharacterized. NCBI's taxonomy places the organism in Eukaryota, Metazoa, Chordata, Mammalia, Pilosa, Megalonychidae. The record is from RefSeq and is a predicted model, not a curated record. The transcript has 3 exons.